UACGUAGGGUGCGAGCGUUAAUCGGAAUUACUGGGCGUAAAGCGUGCGCAGGCGGUUUUGUAAGCCAGAUGUGAAAUCCCCGGGCUUAACCUGGGAAUGGCAUUUGGGACUGCAAGGCUGGAGUGCGGCAGAGGGAGGUGGAAUUCCACGUGUAGCAGUGAAAUGCGUAGAGAUGUGGAGGAACACCGAUGGCGAAGGCAGCCUCCUGGGCCAGCACUGACGCUCAUGCACGAAAGCGUGGGGAGCAAACAGG
This 253-nucleotide ribosomal RNA is filed under the name uncultured bacterium. Its description in RNAcentral is "partial 16S ribosomal RNA". It matches the Rfam family "Bacterial small subunit ribosomal RNA", at positions 524 to 776 of the family's 1533-position model. The record is from RNAcentral.